Molecule: ribosomal RNA, 354 nt
Filed under: Triticum aestivum (bread wheat)
Lineage: Eukaryota; Viridiplantae; Streptophyta; Magnoliopsida; Poales; Poaceae
Description: partial small subunit ribosomal RNA
Source: RNAcentral
AUGCCAAAAAUUGCUCCUUAUGGGCAGCUCUCAUAUGCAUUGCUGGGUUGUUCACAAUCAAUAAAGCUUUGGUUGUACUUAGUUCUAGUAUAUGGGUCCUAUUUCGAGGAUGGGUUUGGUUAUAUACAUCGGGGAUGUUCUGUAAGUGAAUUACUUGCACUGACAAAGAAACUCAUAUCAAUUAGUGCCCGACAUACCUGCAUGCACCUGAUCCUUCCGCCAUUGCUGACGCUGCCGAGGCUGGCGCUGGAGCGGCGGCUGACGGGGAGACCGGCUGUGGACUUGAGCCCCUGGAAGGGUGCAACGGUGGUAGCCGACGAAGCCAUCACGGCGGGGGCCAUGGUAUUCUAUUAA